Long non-coding RNA from Mastomys coucha (southern multimammate mouse), 537 nucleotides. RefSeq lists it as uncharacterized. The record is from RefSeq and is a predicted model, not a curated record. NCBI's taxonomy places the organism in Eukaryota, Metazoa, Chordata, Mammalia, Rodentia, Muridae. The transcript is spliced from 3 exons.
UGAUAACCUGUACCACCAAGCCUGGAGCUUCCUUUCUAUCCCUGAACAUAUGACAAUGGAAAACAGACACCUUACCAUAGUAACCAUGGCAGGCAAAACACUCAACUCCUGAGGUUUAUCAUCACAAAAGAAGAGGACAGUGCCUGUAGCUGCAGAUCCAGUAGAGACAAUGCCAUCUCCUGAGACCUGCAGACGACAAAGCUGCCUGCUACCUCACCUGACUGAAGACUCCACAGACACACGCUGAACCCCACAGAGGACAGACUUGGGCCUUCCAGCUACAGAUGCACUCUCUUACCAAAGUCAAAUGGCUGCUGAACUUGGGGAAGCUACAUGACAGUUCACAAAAUGUAAAGGACACUGUCACAUGAUCCUCAGGACAAACAAACUCUGCUCCUCCAUUGAGAAAUACCUCCAGCUGCCUGGAUACCAUCUCAAAACAGAGGUCCCAGCCACUUCAUUUUCAAACACUGUGUUGUGGGGACUCUCUCCUUGCUGCAGCUCAGUGUUUGAGAGGAGUAAAGCUGUCCGUACAGA